UCUUAAAGAAGAGAAGCUUUCACGCUUGGAAGAAACAGGGUGAGGAACAAUCAAAUACGGUUCCCCCAUUAUGCGGUGCAUACGAAGUAAUGUUUUAGAGUUGGUGAGGCAAAUCAAAACAAUCCAGGCCCAAUAUCUCUUUUACACCCCAUACUGACUAAAUAAAGCAACUACCACACUUGGGCUUACCAAACUACGAGCCAUGCGCCCAUAAGCUGAUAUCCAGUCCUCCCGAUUG
This 238-nucleotide long non-coding RNA is filed under the name Lathyrus oleraceus (garden pea). RNAcentral's name for it is "Pisum sativum (pea) long non-coding RNA (PSAT_LNC036577)". Lineage: Eukaryota; Viridiplantae; Streptophyta; Magnoliopsida; Fabales; Fabaceae. The record is from RNAcentral.